This 404-nucleotide ribosomal RNA is filed under the name Fusobacteriota bacterium. RNAcentral's name for it is "Fusobacteria bacterium partial 16S ribosomal RNA". It matches the Rfam family "Bacterial small subunit ribosomal RNA", at positions 355 to 776 of the family's 1533-position model. The record is from RNAcentral. Lineage: Bacteria; Fusobacteriati; Fusobacteriota.
UGGGGAAUAUUGCACAAUGGAGGGAACUCUGAUGCAGCGACGCCGCGUGAGUGAUGAAGGAAUUCGUUUCGUAAAACUCUGUUCUCUGGGAAGAGAAGGACUGUACCAUAGGAGAAAGCUCCGGCUAAAUACGUGCCAGCAGCCGCGGUAAUACGUAUGGAGCGAGCGUUGUCCGGAAUUAUUGGUCGUAAAGGGUGCGCAGGCGGAUUUACAAGUUGGAUGUGAAAUAUUGUGGCUCAACCACAAACGUGCAUCCAAAACUGCAAAGCUUGAGUUAAGGAGAGGUAAGUGGAAUUCCUGGUGUAGCGGUGGAAUGCGUAGAUAUCAGGAGGAAUACCGGUGGCGAAGGCGACUUACUGGACUUAAACUGACGCUCAGGCACGAAAGCGUGGGGAGCAAACAGG